GACGAGGGGUCCAAGCGUUGUUCGGAAUCAUUGGGCGUAAAGAGCUCGUAGGCGGCUUGUCGCGUCGGUUGUGAAAGCCCGGGGCUUAACCCCGGGUCUGCAGUCGAUACGGGCAGGCUAGAGUUCGGUAGGGGAGAUCGGAAUUCCUGGUGUAGCGGUGAAAUGCGCAGAUAUCAGGAGGAACACCGGUGGCGAAGGCGGAUCUCUGGGCCGAUACUGACGCUGAGGAGCGAAAGCGUGGGGAGCGAACAGG
RNAcentral lists this ribosomal RNA (253 nucleotides) under uncultured bacterium. RNAcentral's name for it is "partial 16S ribosomal RNA". It matches the Rfam family "Bacterial small subunit ribosomal RNA", at positions 524 to 776 of the family's 1533-position model. The record is from RNAcentral.